GGAUAACUCAGUUGGUUAAAUCAUAGCACUCAUAACGCCAAGGUUGAAGGUUCAAUCCCUGUUUGAGACA
Podarcis lilfordi (Lilford's wall lizard) is the source of this 70-nucleotide non-coding RNA. Lineage: Eukaryota; Metazoa; Chordata; Lepidosauria; Squamata; Lacertidae. The record is from the annotation of a GenBank genome assembly.